RNAcentral lists this ribosomal RNA (270 nucleotides) under uncultured bacterium. RNAcentral's name for it is "partial 16S ribosomal RNA". It matches the Rfam family "Bacterial small subunit ribosomal RNA", at positions 29 to 288 of the family's 1533-position model. The record is from RNAcentral.
AAUGAACGCUGGCGGCGCGCCUAAUACAUGCAAGUCGAGCGAGAAGACGUAGCAAUACGUUUGUAAAGCGGCGAACGGGUGAGGAAUACGAUGGGUAACCUACCCUCGAGUGGGGAACAACUAGCCGAAAGGUUAGCUAAUACCGCGUACGCUUCUUGGACUUCGGUUCAGGGAGGAAAGCGAUGCCGAGGGUAUCGCGCUCUUGGAUGGGCUCAUGUCCUAUCAGCCUUGUUGGGAGGUAACGGCUCACCAAGGCUUCGACGGGUAGCU